ACAUCCAAGUAUGACAAGUUAGUGGGACCAAUCUGGGGGGGGGGAAGCAUCAAGAGAACAGGGCAGACCCACAGAACUGGGCUCACCCACCCUUUCUUUCGGUGUGCCCAUGGGCAGCCUCCUUGCUCCUGCCAUGCUGCCCCAGCCUGCUCCCUUCCUUCCAACCUCCUAGGGAGACAGGCUCAGCGUUUCCGUUGUUAGGGGCAGGAGCUUUGUCCUCAUGACCUGGCCAAAAUGGAGCCUGCAAUAGGUGCUUAUACUUAUAAAGACCCGCUGGAUUCAGUGCAGCUGUUAGCAAGUGCUGGUCCCAACAGACCCCUCCCAGUGGGCAGAGGCAGGGCCUCCAGGAGAGAGGAGCAUCCAUCCCUAAAACAAACCACCUGGAUUCCUCUUACUUCUCCUCCCAGCCUCUGUCCGCUCCCCCAAACUCAGACACGGUCUCUUGCCUGGGCUUCCGCUGCCUCCCUUCCUCUGACCCCUCCACCCUACCCUCCAUCUCCAUCAGUCUGGAAGGAACUUGGAGAGCCACAGAGCUGACGUCCAGUCACCUAUUGAAAGCAGCCCUCAUCGGCACCCUUCCUUUCUUUCCGUCCUAAGGCCCACACCUGACCCCUGCACCUCAGGACCAGGCUCUGCAGCCUCCCUGAGCCCCUGUCCGACCCCUGCUCCUAGGACUGUUUGUAUCUGUUGUCAUGAGACAGGAGGAGGAUGUGCUAUUUCCCACCACCCUUGUCUUGCUGGCCCCUCUGCCUGGAAUGGCCUUCCUCUGCCCAGUGGCAAACAGACUUUCAAGGUUCAGUUCCAGUGUCCCCGCUGCAAUCCCCCAAACAGAGUGAGCGGUUCCUUCCAUCUACUUCCAAGAACUGGAAAGUUCCUGUCUUGUCGCGCUCACUGUGGGACCACGGCAUUGGUUCCCACCCAGCUGUGAGUUCCUGCAGGGUCAGGCAUGUGCUGGGUCCAUGUUGGCACAGAGCAGGGGCCAGCAGGUGCUUGCUGUGAAUAGGAACGUUUAGCAGACCCCGGGAGAGGAGACAGUGUUACCACACUUGUUCUCCGCUUCGCCUGCGGGUGCCUUUAAGAGGCACAGAUUUCUAAACCUUGCCAAGCUGAUCCGCUGAACACCUCUACAUUCCCGGCUGCCUUGUUGGCUCCCUGGGACACGGCAGCUGUCCUGUGUCUGUAAACAGAUAAUAGCUCCUCUGACUCUAGGUGUCUCUCCACGGCCCUUUGUGGCCAGGCCUGGGCUGCAUACCCAUGGGCACCCCCUCCCAUUCAAUCUCACAGACAGGACGCCAGGCUGGACAGUCCUCACCAACACCCCUCCAGCCAGCUAGCCAGCCUCCUUUCAACUCUGCAUUGCCCUGAGUUUGUGUGGGGUUGUUGAGUUCCCAGCAGGUCCUCCGGAUGUGCAUGUAGGUAGUUAGGGGAAUGGAGUGGGAGGAUAGGAGCCCAGACACUUGAAAUGGUGUUCCAUGCCUUUCUAGACCCCAGGCCCUUUCCUACAUGAUUUUAUCAGCACAUGCUCAGUACUUCACGGUUUACAAAGCACUUCUAGAUCCAUCCAACCCCGCGAAGGAUGAGGAUCACUGGCGCUCUGUUUUCCUGUGGUGGGGGGAACUGGCUUCCAGGAGACAUAGUGACUGACCAAGGUCUCGAGGUCUCGUGCUGGUGGAGUGCAGAGCCAGGAUCCACCUGAGGCCCCCGGCUGCCUCCAGAUCCCACACUCCUUCCUUGGCACUUCCUUGGUUCUGCACGGUGCCUCAACACUCCCCAAAACAUCCCAUUUUGCAGGUGUGGAAACCCAUGUCCCGCAGAGGCUGGGUGUUUGCUCCACUCAGUUCUGGGGACUUAGCUUGAGGCUCUCUGAUCUGUUCUCCUGCCGAGCACCCCAGGAAGGGCUCCAGGUCUCCCAGCCACUUAGUAAGAGUGGCAAGUCCUGUCUCACUUGAUCUUUGGGAGCAUAAGAGGGGAUCACAGAAAACGUCAUCAAUGUGAAAGUGUUUUGUAAACCAAGGCGCUGCUCAAACAUAGCGUUAUCUUCAGCCUGGCUACUGGCUUCCUACAAAGUGUGAAGGGAUGAAGGUAAAAGCUCUUUCUUGAAUAAUGUUAUCCAUCAAGACAGAUGAAACCACACCGGUCAGCUCCUCCUGCCCUUCCCCCCACCCCCCACCUCCCCUUCAUUCCAACAUGUUUAAAGACAUUCGUAGGCUGAGAAAUGAUACCUGCUGCUCCUCUGACACCCGGAAUGUGCCUUGUGAUUGGCAGAGUGUCCCUCCAGAAUAGCUUAAUUUUUUUCCCAUUUCUUGAGCAAUGUCUUCUACUCCUUGGCCCUGUAAUUGAGAAUUGGGCUUGCAAUGGCCAGCACACGAGCAUCUUCCCUGAAAGCUCAGAAAUGAUGGCUCUCACGGCAGGGAGCUGGCAUUCCCCAUGGCCGAGAGCACUGUCCUCCUCGCACGAAGGGAUCAUUCACCACUGUGUGUAUUAACCUGAAAUCCACCUCACCUUGAUGGAUAUUUUUGCCAAUCUCCCAUUUGGUUUGAUGAAUGUGAGAGAAAUUUUCCCAUAUGUCAUAUGAAUUUCUCCCUCACAAAAUAAGUCUAAAUUUUUUUCUGUUCCUGGAGAUGAAGGAGCUCUGCAGAAUAGGCCACGUCUUCAAUUACCUUUAUCUCUAGUAGCCAAAAGUCUUGAUUUUUAUAUAACUGGAAAAACGAUGCAGCAUAAUGCGUAUACACACACACACACACCCCCACGUGCACACACACACACACAGAGCACCGUUGGGCUUUGGUAGAAAAUGGCAAAAUUACGAUGUUUUUCUUAUUUCUGGUGAUUGGUGUCCGAGUGUUAUUUAGAGAGCGGAGUGGAAAGGGCUCUUUGCAGCCCUGCGGUGGUGUCUUGCGCUCACCAAGAGGCUCACGGGAAACAUUUCCUCCAACAUGAAGGUGUUUGCUAAGAUUCCAACCAGGACCCAGUCUUGGGCCACAGAACACUGUCUGCUCCCCCAGUCCCCUCACAGACCGCAGGGAUAUUUUCCCUUCAGAACCCCUUGCAUCAGAAUGGGGAAAGCGAGGGCCGAGAAUCCCAGAAGAGGCCGUGAACUGUUCUGGAAAAGCGAGGGCUUUGCAGUCAGACCUUCAUAUGCACUUUGUUCUGUCUGUCGCGCUUUCCCUAAAUGACCACGGGCCAGUGACUUUACCUCUCUGAUCCCUGCUCCUUGCCUCGAUAGUGGGGAUCUCAUCAUAAUGUAUGUAAAGAGCCAGGUGCGGGACUUGGCACCUGGGAAGUGUCUUAAUACACGUCUGUCGAGAAAAGGAAGGGCUCGACGUGCGGAAACAAGACAGAUGCCAGGAAAUACGUCUGCCCACCUCCACGCCCCUGACAGCCGAGGCUCCUGGAGGUCUGGUGAGAGGCCCCAGCCCUCUCCGCUCUGUGCUGAGCUCUGCCUUUAAGAGACUGCAGCUCCUGCCUCUUAAAAGCCUUUAAAAAUUCUUUAUUAAAUUUUCAUGGCGCAUAAAGCCAAGGUUCUGUUACUUGGCCUCAGUUGUCUUGGCAACUUCGUAAAACGCAAUAAUAAAACAAAACUGAGUGUUGCUAAACACAGGCUCAUUGUAUAAACGA
This 3618-nucleotide small RNA is filed under the name Pongo abelii (Sumatran orangutan). RNAcentral's name for it is "sense overlapping". Lineage: Eukaryota; Metazoa; Chordata; Mammalia; Primates; Hominidae. The record is from RNAcentral.